RNAcentral lists this ribosomal RNA (410 nucleotides) under Shelfordia sp. RNAcentral describes it as "partial 16S ribosomal RNA". Lineage: Eukaryota; Metazoa; Arthropoda; Insecta; Hymenoptera; Braconidae. The record is from RNAcentral.
GUCUUUAAGAUAUUAAUUUAAAGUCCAAUCUGCCCACUGAAAUUUUUAAAGGGCUGCAGAAUUUUAACUGUACAAAGGUAGCAUAAUAAUUUGUUUUUUAAUUAAAAACUUGAAUGAAAGAUUAAAUGAAAUAUAAACUGUUUCAAUUAAAUAAAUAUUAAAUUUUUUAUUUAGGUAAAAAAACCUAAAUAAUUUUUAAAGACGAUAAGACCCUAUAGAAUUUUAUUUAUAAUUAUAUAUUUAUAUAUAUAUAAAUUUUAUUGGGGUAAUAAAAAAAUUUAUUUAAUUUUUUUUAAAAAUAACAUUAUAUAAAUGAAUUAAUUAUCUUAAUUUUUAAAAUAAAAAAAUUAAUUACCUUAGGGAUAACAGCAUAAUUUUUUUUGAAAGAUCUUAUUAAUAAAAAAGAUUAU